UAGCCUUGACAUAUUAUAGAAUUCAGUAGAGAUACAGAAGUGCCUUCGGGAGCUAUAUUACAGGUGCUGCACGGCUGUCGUCAGCUCGUGUCGUGAGAUGUUGGGUUAAGUCCCGCAACGAGCGCAACCCUCGUCACUAGUUACUAACGGUUAGGCCGAGGACUCUAGUGAGACUGCCUUCGUAAGGAGGAGGAAGGUGAGGACGACGUCAAGUCAUCAUGGCCCUUACGGCUAGGGCAACACACGUGCUACAAUGGUUAGGACAAUGAGAAGCAAUAUCGCGAGGUGGAGCAAAUCUAUAAACCUAAUCUCAGUUCGGAUUGUAGUCUGCAACUCGACUACAUGAAGCUGGAAUCACUAGUAAUCGUAGAUCAGCUAUGCUACGGUGAAUACGUUCCCGGGUC
RNAcentral lists this ribosomal RNA (404 nucleotides) under uncultured bacterium. RNAcentral describes it as "bacterial SSU rRNA". It matches the Rfam family "Bacterial small subunit ribosomal RNA", at positions 976 to 1380 of the family's 1533-position model. The record is from RNAcentral.